Molecule: ribosomal RNA, 367 nt
Filed under: uncultured bacterium
Lineage: Bacteria
Description: bacterial SSU rRNA
Rfam family: Bacterial small subunit ribosomal RNA
Source: RNAcentral
ACGGAGGAUCCAAGCGUUAUCCGGAAUCAUUGGGUUUAAAGGGUCCGUAGGCGGGCUAAUAAGUCAGUGGUGAAAUCUCCCGGCCCAACCGGGAAAUGGCCAUUGAUACUGUUAGUCUUGAAUUAUAAGGAAGUAACUAGAAUAUGUAGUGUAGCGGUGAAAUGCUUAGAGAUUACAUGGAAUACCAAUUGCGAAGGCAGGUUACUACUUAUGGAUUGACGCUGAUGGACGAAAGCGUGGGUAGCGAACAGGAUUAGAUACCCUGGUAGUCCACGCCGUAAACGAUGGAUACUAGCUGUUGGGAGCAAUUUCAGUGGCUAAGCGAAAGUGAUAAGUAUCCCACCUGGGGAGUACGGUCGCAAGAUUA